RNAcentral lists this ribosomal RNA (483 nucleotides) under uncultured bacterium. Its description in RNAcentral is "partial 16S ribosomal RNA". It matches the Rfam family "Bacterial small subunit ribosomal RNA", at positions 28 to 523 of the family's 1533-position model. The record is from RNAcentral.
GACGAACGCUGGCGGCGUGCUUAACACAUGCAAGUCGAACGAUGAAGCUGGAGCUUGCUCCGGUGGAUUAGUGGCGAACGGGUGAGUAACACGUGAGCAAUCUGCCCUUGACUCUGGGUUAACUGCGGGAAACUGUAGCUAAUACCGGAUAUGAGGCUUGGAGGCAUCUCCAGGUCUGGAAAGAAUUUCGGUCAAGGAUGAGCUCGCGGCCUAUCAGCUAGUUGGUGAGGUAAUGGCUCACCAAGGCGACGACGGGUAGCCGGCCUGAGAGGGUGACCGGCCACACUGGGACUGAGACACGGCCCAGACUCCUACGGGAGGCAGCAGUGGGGAAUAUUGCACAAUGGGCGAAAGCCUGAUGCAGCAGCACCGCGUGAGGGAUGAAGGCCUUAGGGUUGUAAACCUCUUUUAGCAGGGAAGAAGCGAAAGUGACGGUACCUGCAGAAAAAGCACCGGCUAACUACGUGCCAGCCGCCGCAGUAA